AAGUCGUAACAAGGUUUCCGUAGGUGAACCUGCGGAAGGAUCAUUAACACAAUCUAAACAUUGUAACACCACGUGAACUGUUACCCUCCCUGGAUUUCGAGAUUGCGCUCCUUGACUGGGGUGUAAUUUCGAACUCUGGGCUACCACUUGCAUGUUUGCUGUCUGUCGGUUUGUGGAUAUUCGUUGAUUCGUCUACCUUUCAAACCGUGUCGGACGCUUCAAAGCAACUUGCAUGUUUUUUUUCACCCCAUCUUACUGCUUAAGCUUGAUUGUUUAAGCUUGACCUGGACAUUUUCCUUUGAAAAUUUCCUCAUUGAAUGCUUUACAGGUUUUGCUCAGCAACAACCGACUAAACAUACAAAACAACUCUUAACAAUGGAUAUCUUGGUUCUC
This 393-nucleotide unclassified non-coding RNA is filed under the name fungal sp. RNAcentral describes it as "partial internal transcribed spacer region". The stretch from base 1 to 46 matches the Rfam family "Eukaryotic small subunit ribosomal RNA", at positions 1786 to 1831 of the family's 1831-position model. Lineage: Eukaryota; Fungi. The record is from RNAcentral.